ACUUCAAGAUGAGUUAGAAAUGAAUCCAUCAUGGCCGCCGUUCCUUUUUUCUUACCCCUACCCCUUUUUCCAGUCAGUAGUCGUUUGUAUGGUGGCUGGAUCACUUGUGCAUGUUGCUUCCGGAUCUGCUUUCCAAAUUUGUUUGGUGCUUAAACAAUGUUAUUCAAACUUUUCCUCUGUUAACAGAAAGAUAUAGUGUCGUACUGUUUUUUAGCUUGUGCAUUGACAGAAAUGUUACUGGAUACUUUACACCUUCGUGGUCUGUGCUUUACAUAAAGUGAUUCGAAAAUCGGCAAACUAUACAAGAGAUCGUACGGGGCACAUUGAAACAGUUCCUUAUGUUUUGUCAUUUUAUGCGGUUUUCUGAUGAAUAUGCAUUGGAAUGUUGACGAAUUUCAUCUAUCGGAUCGCCUCCUACCCGGAUUAGAUUGACGGAGUACACCAACCAUCCGGAUGAAAACUGCCAUUCAUGAAUCGCCAUGCAGAGCUCGAUGCGACGUGGUGACCAUCUUUUCUUUUUCGAGGACCUUGAAGAAAUGACACCACUCUUUGUCCUUCACGCUUGAAGGCCGCGGGAAACAUUACGUAAAACUGGCAUGCGGUGGUAUAGAGGUUGGGU
Molecule: long non-coding RNA, 619 nt
Organism: Daphnia pulex (common water flea)
Lineage: Eukaryota; Metazoa; Arthropoda; Branchiopoda; Diplostraca; Daphniidae
Exons: 3
Source: RefSeq, a predicted model, not a curated record